AAUAGAUACCCGGGUAGUCCACGCCGUAAACGAUGAGUGCUAAGUGUUAGAGGGUUUCCGCCCUUUAGUGCUGCAGCAAACGCAUUAAGCACUCCGCCUGGGGGAGUACGGCCGCAAGGCUGAAACUCAAAGGAAUUGACGGGGGGCCCGCACAAGCGGUGGAGCAUGUGGUUUAAUUCGAAGCAACGCGAAGAACCUUACCAGGUCUUGACAUCCUCUGACAAUCCUAGAGAUAAGACUUUCCCCUUCGGGGGACAGAGUGACAGGUGGUGCAUGGUUGUCGUCAGCUCGUGUCGUGAGAUGUUGGGUUAAGUCCCGCAACGAGCGCAACCCUUGAUCUUAGUUGCCAGCAUUCAGUUGGGCACUCUAAGGUGACUGCCGGUGACAAACCGGAGGAAGGUGGGGAUGACGUCAAAUCAUCAUGCCCCUUAUGACCUGGGCUACACACGUGCUACAAUGGAUGGUACAAAGGGCUGCAAGACCGCGAGGUUUAGCCAAUCCCAUAAAACCGAUUCUCAGUUCGGAUUGCAGG
Molecule: ribosomal RNA, 532 nt
Filed under: uncultured bacterium
Lineage: Bacteria
Description: bacterial SSU rRNA
Rfam family: Bacterial small subunit ribosomal RNA
Source: RNAcentral